This 425-nucleotide ribosomal RNA is filed under the name uncultured bacterium. RNAcentral's name for it is "partial 16S ribosomal RNA". It matches the Rfam family "Bacterial small subunit ribosomal RNA", at positions 354 to 796 of the family's 1533-position model. The record is from RNAcentral.
GUGGGGAAUAUUGGACAAUGGGCGAAAGCCUGAUCCAGCAAUGCCGCGUGAGUGAAGAAGGCCUUAGGGUUGUAAAGCUCUUUUACCCGGGAAGAUAAUGACUGUACCGGGAGAAUAAGCUCCGGCUAACUCCGUGCCAGCAGCCGCGGUAAUACGGAGGGAGCUAGCGUUGUUCGGAAUCACUGGGCGUAAAGCGCACGUAGGCGGCUUUGUAAGUUAGAGGUGAAAGCCCGGGGCUCAACUCCGGAACUGCCUUUAAGACUGCAUCGCUUGAAUCUGGGAGAGGUAAGUGGAAUUCCGAGUGUAGAGGUGAAAUUCGUAGAUAUUCGGAAGAACACCAGUGGCGAAGGCGGCUUACUGGACCAGAAUUGACGCUGAGGUGCGAAAGCGUGGGGAGCAAACAGGAUUAGAAACCCGAGUAGUCC